RNAcentral lists this transfer RNA (73 nucleotides) under Thermoplasma acidophilum. It matches the Rfam family "tRNA". From Rfam's summary of the family: Transfer RNA (tRNA) molecules are approximately 80 nucleotides in length. Their secondary structure includes four short double-helical elements and three loops (D, anti-codon, and T loops). The record is from RNAcentral. RNAcentral also lists the same sequence under 4 other names. Lineage: Archaea; Methanobacteriati; Thermoplasmatota; Thermoplasmata; Thermoplasmatales; Thermoplasmataceae.
GGGCCCGUAGUGUAAACGGAUAUCACAGGGGCCUCCGGAGCCCCUAAUCCGGGUUCGAUUCCCGGCGGGCCCG